AGAAUGACUCUUAAUGACCCAGAGGAUGACUCUUACCACUGGAGACACACACACUUGAGUCUGCACAGCAAACCUUACUGAGUAAUCCUUCUCUUCCAUUA
Non-coding RNA from Vicugna pacos (alpaca), 101 nucleotides. The record is from RefSeq and is a predicted model, not a curated record. Lineage: Eukaryota; Metazoa; Chordata; Mammalia; Artiodactyla; Camelidae.